UACCUACGGGACGCAGCAGUAGGGAAUCUUCGGCAAUGGGCGAAAGCCUGACCGAGCAACGCCGCGUGAAUGAAGAAGGCCUUCGGGUUGUAAAAUUCUGUUAUAAGGGAAGAAAGGUGAUAGGAGGAACUGACUAUCAAUUGACGGUACCUUAUGAGAAAGCCACGGCUAACUACGUGCCAGCAGCCGCGGUAAUACGUAGGUGGCAAGCGUUAUCCGGAAUUAUUGGGCGUAAAGAGCGCGCAGGUGGUUAAUUAAGUCUGAUGUGAAAGCCCUCGGCUUAACCGGGGAGGUUCAUUGGACAG
Molecule: ribosomal RNA, 305 nt
Filed under: uncultured bacterium
Lineage: Bacteria
Description: bacterial SSU rRNA
Rfam family: Bacterial small subunit ribosomal RNA
Source: RNAcentral